AGUGAACGCUGGCGGUAGGCCUAACACAUGCAAGUCGAACGGCAGCACAGUAAGAGCUUGCUCUUACGGGUGGCGAGUGGCGGACGGGUGAGGAAUACAUCGGAAUCUACUUUUUCGUGGGGGAUAACGUAGGGAAACUUACGCUAAUACCGCAUACGACCUACGGUUGAAAGCAGUGGAUCUUCGGACCUUGCGCGAUUGAAUGAGCCGCUGUCGGAUUAGCUAGUUGGAGGGGUAAAGGCCCACCAAGGCGACGAUCCGUAGCUGGUCUGUGAGGAUGGUUAGUCACAAGAGAAAUUAGAGACAGUCCAAGCUCCUUAGGGAGGGAGCAGGAGGGUAUAUUAGGCAUAGGGGGCAAAUCUUGAACAACCAUAACAAGUAGGAUGAAGAAGCGAUCCGGUUGUAAAGACCUUUUGUGGGGAAAGAAAAGCAGCAGGUUAAUAACCAGAUGUUCUGACGGUACCAAAAUAAUAAGCACCGGCUAACUUCGUG
This 492-nucleotide ribosomal RNA is filed under the name uncultured bacterium. RNAcentral describes it as "partial 16S ribosomal RNA". It matches the Rfam family "Bacterial small subunit ribosomal RNA", at positions 29 to 507 of the family's 1533-position model. The record is from RNAcentral.